GACGAACCGUGCGAACGUUAUUCGGAAUCACUGGGCUUAAAGCGCGUGUAGGCGGAUGAGCACGUCUGUCGCUGAAAUCCCCCGGCUCAACCGGGGAACGGGCGCGGAUACGGCUCGUCUCGAGGGGCGUAGGGGGACCUGGAACUUCCGGUGGAGCGGUGAAAUGCGUUGAGAUCGGAAGGAACGCCCGUGGCGAAAGCGGCGUGCUGGACCUCUUCUGACGCUGAGGCGCGAAAGCCAGGGGAGCAAACGGG
RNAcentral lists this ribosomal RNA (254 nucleotides) under uncultured bacterium. Its description in RNAcentral is "partial 16S ribosomal RNA". It matches the Rfam family "Bacterial small subunit ribosomal RNA", at positions 524 to 776 of the family's 1533-position model. The record is from RNAcentral.